Molecule: ribosomal RNA, 497 nt
Filed under: uncultured bacterium
Lineage: Bacteria
Description: partial 16S ribosomal RNA
Rfam family: Bacterial small subunit ribosomal RNA
Source: RNAcentral
GAUGAACGCUGGCGGCGUGCCUAAUACAUGCAAGUCGAGCGAACAGAUAAGGAGCUUGCUCCUUUGACGUUAGCGGCGGACGGGUGAGUAACACGUGGGUAACCUACCUAUAAGACUGGGAUAACUUCGGGAAACCGGAGCUAAUACCGGAUAACAUUUGGAACCGCAUGGUUCUAAAGUGAAAGAUGGUUUUGCUAUCACUUAUAGAUGGACCCGCGCCGUAUUAGCUAGUUGGUAAGGUAACGGCUUACCAAGGCGACGAUACGUAGCCGACCUGAGAGGGUGAUCGGCCACACUGGAACUGAGACACGGUCCAGACUCCUACGGGAGGCAGCAGUAGGGAAUCUUCCGCAAUGGGCGAAAGCCUGACGGAGCAACGCCGCGUGAGUGAUGAAGGGUUUCGGAUCGUAAAACUCUGUUAUUAGGGAAGAACAAAUGUGUAAGUAACUGUGCACGUCUUGACGGUACCUAAUCAGAAAGCCACGGCUAACUACGUG